Molecule: long non-coding RNA, 601 nt
Organism: Octopus sinensis (East Asian common octopus)
Lineage: Eukaryota; Metazoa; Mollusca; Cephalopoda; Octopoda; Octopodidae
Exons: 4
Source: RefSeq, a predicted model, not a curated record
GUUAUUUUAAUUAUUCAAAAUAUAAUGUAAAUAAAUGCUAGCUGUUGAGAUGAAUCAGUGCUGAAAAUUCAUUAUUGAAUUCUGAGCUAGUAUCAAAGAGGAGAAAUCAAAAGCAUUUGCAGGCCCAGAAAAAUCUGCUGCUGCUGCCACUAUCUAUUCUUGAGUAAAAUCCCAUCUAUUAAAGGAAUAUUUGCAAAUUCUGUCUGAACAAGCAAAAUGGGUUAACUUCUGCUCUGAAUUACUACUAGUACCCACCCUGGUACUACAGGCUAGCCACUCUUUAAUUACAGCAAACUACCAAUAUACUACAAGCUGCCCCAAUUUUCCAUUUGUAGAAUUUCAUACACUGCAAUUAUCAUAACAGCCAGUCUAUUUUUUUGCCAUUACUGGUUGCAUGCCACAAAGAACAAGUUGAGAGUUCAUGCUGACAUCAUACAGAACAACUUUAUAGAAGUCAUUGUAUAAAUCAUGCAAAUUGGAUUUAAAAGCUUUCAAAUUUAUUAUUUUAAAAAUAUUACAAAUUUGAAACUUUGAAAAGCCAGAACUAAUUCAAGGAUUAUAUUUCAUGAAAUAAAGGGACAAACAGGCAUUAAACCUCAAA